RNAcentral lists this ribosomal RNA (253 nucleotides) under uncultured bacterium. Its description in RNAcentral is "partial 16S ribosomal RNA". It matches the Rfam family "Bacterial small subunit ribosomal RNA", at positions 524 to 776 of the family's 1533-position model. The record is from RNAcentral.
UACGGAGGUGGCAAGCGUUGCUCGGAAUCACUAGGCGUAAAGGGCGCGUAGGCGGGGAGGUAAGUCGGGUGUGAAAUCCCUCGGCCCAACUGAGGAACUGCGCCCGAGACUGCUUCUCUUGAGUCCCGGAGAGGAAGAUGGAAUUCCCGGUGUAGCGGUGAAAUGUGUAGAGAUCGGGAGGAACACCAGUGGCGAAGGCGAUCUGCUAGGCCUGACCUGACACUCAGCCGCGACAGCAUGGGGAGCGAACGGG